This 294-nucleotide unclassified non-coding RNA is filed under the name uncultured fungus. RNAcentral describes it as "sequence contains ITS1". The record is from RNAcentral. Lineage: Eukaryota; Fungi.
GUAUAAGUUUAUAAGGUAUUAAAACCCAUUAACAUUCAAAUACAUUCUGAUGGAGUAUGUGUAUAAAUGACAUAGAACAAGAUAUAUUUCUUAGGGAAAAGCUGCUGUUGACAGCAGCAACACCCACAAACAAACCGAGUGUUACCUCGAGAAGCAAUAUAAUCUUAUUCUACAAAAGGUGCACAGGUGAUAAAAAUUGAUUAAUGAUAGGCGUGCACAAUGCUCCAGAAAGCCAGCAGCAACCAUACCAGAUUUAUUUCAAUAAUGAUCCUUCCGCAGGUUCACCUACGGAAA